CAUGCCUGAACAUGCCAUACAUACGCACAGACACAUUUGUAACUACUGAGGGCCGACUGUGUGACACAAAUAUUGCAAAACGUGAUGCAAUUUGAUUAAACGUCCACUAGAUGGGGGUGUUUCAUUACACAUGAAAACAUGACGAGUCAGCAGCCAUUUAGAUGAUUAUGAGUACGCUUCUGUUCACACUUCUACCUAGAGAGCAGCCUUUUUCCUCCACUAAAUAGGAAAUGAGGUUCGACCUUAUGCGCUGGGCUUAUAAAGAUAUAUACCACUUGGCAUUGUGUCUCUUCCCCACAUAUUGGUAUCAUAAUUAAGGGCAAUGUCCAAUGGGCACUGGUUGCUGUGCCUGUGUUAUCAACUGCUCCAUGGGAUGCAGGAUAAUUAAGAAUAAGCUGUAAAAAGCAGAUGCCGAUAACAAGCUCCCACUGAGAAAUGCAAUAAACUGAGGAUAGCACACAUCUGCAGCUAUCUGUUCUGUUGAGGCAAGGCCGCAAUGCUAGUUUUUAUGAACUUCACACACACAAAAAGGUUCUUGUAUGGUUCUUGAGAAGGCAGUGUGGUUCUACAAAGAACCAUCACCUUCUUAAGAACCAUUUUAUCUAUUGGAUGAGUCUGAAGUUUUGGUUAUUUGUGAUAUUAAAUGGGGGAUGGGGAAAAAACACCUUUGUGCUAUGUAUAUAUAAUCAUAUAUAUAUAUACAUAUAUAUAUAUAUAUAUAUAUAUAUAUAUAUAUGAUUACCUCUUUUGCCCAUUUAAAAAGCUAAUAAUAAUAUAUUAGAAACAGGUCUUUGCUCUGACUACUUGGGUUUCUCUUCCAUAAUAAAAGCUGUUUUCCAGAAAAGUCUGAGGGGAAAGUCCUAAAUGACAACAUGAACCACCAAUCACGACCGUGAGAAAUGUAUCCGCCCCGCCUACUUCUACGUGAGACUUGUCCAUCUCGACUGACCAACGUCUUUUCAAACCAGAAACCCCGAACUAACAGCGGUCUGUUUAAGCACCUCCUCUUCUUCAAACUCCACGGAUCCCUCCCACUUCGAUGCUCCUCCCAUCCCCCUGCCCCUGUGCACCUCAUAAAUCACCAUCUGCAGUACAUGUGUUUUGUGAGAGACGUACCCGCUCGCAGCAGACGAGGAGGAGAAGGAGAGCCGUUGAGGAUGAGAUUGGAGACACUUGGCGAGGUAAUGAAGAAGCCAAUUUCUUCUCGCCGUACCUUGCUCCUGGCUGUGUAGCUCGCUCGCCCGCUCGCUCACUCACUCACUCCCCGAGCUGCUACACAGACUCCGUCAUCAAAACACACAGUGAGGCGUGCACGCACGCACACCACGCACUCACACUCAGUCUCACACUGGAGGAAACAUUCAUGAUGCAGCAGCAAGAGAGAAUGUCGUCUGAUUCCCUGUCAGAUGUGCGGUGUCCAUCGAGACAGUGGAUGUCCCGGGGCCACUCCUGCGAAGAGCAGACCGCGAGGAACCCGGAGUUGCGGGUGGCGGGCGACUGUCAGAUGCUGCUGCUGAGUGAGGAGGAGGUGGUGAGAUCGGGCAGCGCUGCCUCCCGUCCGUCGUGUGCCUCCGUGUCGCUAUUGUGCUUCCCGUCUGUUUGUGUUCUUCGUCGCAUUUGUCCCCGUCAACUUCCUUCUUCUUUUCUUUUUCCCGCUGCAGCUUCUCCGCCUCAUUCCGUCCCACCUUUUCCUCCAACAUAGCAUAACAUUCUCCCAAGUUCAUUUUUGUGAUUCAGGGCUGUUUCUCUUCACAUUUCUACAUUGUUUAUUGUUACUGAUGUUGACAGUAAACAUGUUUUUCUUUAUGAUGUUGUUGGACAAUUUCAGUAACUUUUGUCCCUAUUCGUUUUGUAUACACAUUUACCAUUUUUAAAUUGGUCUUAUACAGGAAUAAACACAGGUACUGGACUUUCCAAGCCUACGUAGCAACACCGCUGCUGAAACUGGGGAGAAAAGCGCGGCUUCAGUUUGUCUUUGUCUGCUGAAGUAGAGCAAUAAUUGCGGGGAUGGAUUCAUUCCAAUUGACCCAUUGGCGGCCUUCCCACUACAGCGCUUUUUGUUUCAGGGAACGGCAGCUUGAUCGCGGUGAUGUCGGCAAACUGCAGGUUUUAUAAAGGCUUCAUGAUGCGUUUUGGAGAGCAGGGUUGUUUUUAGGACGAUUGGUCAGAGCAUCAUACGGUGGAGGCCAAACACGCGCAGGCACUGUUGGGGGACAUGUUUGUCACGACAGUAUUUCAACAGCUCCUCAUCAGAAUAAUUUGAUUUUUUUGUGUGAGACCUCAAGCUUAGUUCAAUUGAUUCAGAGGAAGCAGGAAUUCCUUCUGCUAGUGUCCUCAUAUGGAUGCGAUGUUUUCCAGUAUACAAUAGUUUAUAAUAUAUAAUGCAAAUGAUCUAAGAAAACACUCUCACCAUUAAGAUUUAACUGAAGAGUCAGCAGCAUCUGACAUAUGACCGUUAACGGGAAUAUGUUGCAUGUUUAAAUCUUCCUAGAUUCCUUUUUUUACAGCUGCCCCUCUGGACAGAGCAGCUUAUUAUAAAACUUCUUUUAAUCUUUGCUGUGAUGGAGUUUUUGCGGAAAGGGAUUUUCGUUUUUUCAUUAUUUCUUGGUUUCCAUCUUUGCUUUAUUACAUUUCUUUUCCCCCUGUUUUUCCAUCUUGAUUUAUUGUUGGAUUGUUUUACUUCUAUUUCCUCCUGCUUACAUUCACGGUUCGCUUUCGCUCCCGACACAUUAUGAAAACCACUGAAGCGCAGUGUCACUGAACAGCUGAUGCUUGUAUUGUCAUCUGUCAGAGAAUGUUUGCUCAAUAAAUGAGUUUGGCCUUGUUUGCCGAAGGCGACUCGGCCCUCAGCUAUUUGUACAGCCAAGGUGGCGUCUCCCAAAGUGUGAGACUGGAAUAAUUCCAAAGGCGUUUCUAUAGUUUGGACCUUUCCUCAGACCCAUGAAGGAUGCCGCGUGUGGAAUACGUGAUCGAGUCCGGUCUCAUUACUCCCGCACUACGUUUCUACCGCUGCCAGAAGUGGGGCUCUGUGUGUUUCAACCCUCAUCCCAGACCGGAGUUGAAUGUCGGGACUCAAAUGACAGCUCGUCCCUGCUUUGUCAUUAUCGCUCAGCCCAGCAGACCUUACAGUGAGAGCUGUCCUUCAGCCCGGGUCCCAUGAGGCAAACAGAGAGGUGACGAGCAGCGAGGAUCCGAGGGAGCGAGCGAGUGACAGAGGAAUAGAGAGAGCAGGAGCUAGGAGGUGUGAGGGUGUUCGAUAAGCCAUUAUUGCUCCCUUUGGAGGACAGAAGGCCCUUCUUCCUUUCUCGCUUUGUCUGUUUUAAUCUUCUGGGGGCAAACAUGUGGCGAGCGAGCUCCAGGAAGAUACCAGCUGACUGAUGCCGCUAAUGCCCGCUUUGUUUUUGGUUUUCUCAUAGAUGUCUCCUCAUCUAGCAGCCUCCUCUAGCCUUGUUUCUUUCUUUCAUUCCCUUUCUGCACCCCUUAUCUCCUCCGUAUCCGUAUCCUUUUAUACUCCGCCUUUUGUCCGCCUUGAAUUCCGAGCCCUGUUGCCUCGGAUCCUCUCCCUCCGACCCCCCCCCCC
This is a non-coding RNA of Gasterosteus aculeatus aculeatus (three-spined stickleback), 3580 nucleotides long. Lineage: Eukaryota; Metazoa; Chordata; Actinopteri; Perciformes; Gasterosteidae. The record is from RefSeq and is a predicted model, not a curated record.